GUGCAUCUCACGAAGAAUCAAUUGGCAAGCAUAUAUAGACAGACCACAACACAGAGUUGCAAUUUUCCAAUAAUGGAUGGACCAGGAAACGAACAGGGUCAACAGCCAAGAGGAGGAGGAAGAAGAGGAGCAAGGAUGCGUGGUGGAAGGCAAAACAAAGACAUAAGGGCCACUAUUGUAGACCAUGUUGUCAAUCAUGGCCUUACAAUGGCUGAGGCGGGUCGAAGGGUGCAGCCGAAUAUUGGGAGAUCUACCGUGUCCUCAAUAGAUCAAACGUUUCGAAGAGAGAACAGGACUGCAAGAUUACCUCAAACCGGUGGCAGAGGACACCUUUUCACACCUCAACAGGAGGAGGCUGUUUGCACCAUGGUUCCGAGCAAACAAUGCCAUGAGACUCAGGGAAAUACAAAGGACCAUUAUAGAAGACAACGAUGUCUUUGAAAACAUCCAGACGGUUAGCAUCUCAACCAUCGACAGGGUGCUGCAUAGAAACCAGAUGAGUGUGAAGUUUUUACUAGAUUACUUGUAGUUUUUCAUGUUGUUUGUCUAAUUUUUGUAAUGACUUGGCGCUGCCUAUCUUGGCCAGGACGCUCUUGAAAAAGAGAUUAUAAAAUCUAGAUGAGCCUUUCCUGGUUAAAUAAAGGUUAAUAAAUAAAUAAAUGAAACAGCUGUACCGUGUACCAUUCCAAAGGAAUGAGGACAGAGUUAAGGAGCUACGGUACCAGUAUGUACAGCGUAUAAUGGAGUUGGAAUCAAGUGAACCCUCUCACAGCUUUGUCUACGUGGAUGAGGCUGGCUUCAACCUGACCAGAUGCAGGAGGCGGGGUCGGAAUAUCACCGGUCACAGAGCUACUGUGGAUUUGCCAGGCCAACGGGGAGGAAAUAUCACCAUGUGUGCUGCUAUUUCGGAAGCAUGGUGUCCUAACCCAUAUCCCCCCCUUAUAGGGCCAUACAACACCCAGCAUCUACUCAACUUUUUAGAGACUCUCUACAUGGCUCUCAUCCCCGAUGAUGAUGAGAGGGGUCUGUUUAGAGAUGUACUAAGGAUUUUUAGUGACUGACUAGCUUUAGAAACACAUCUAUUGUAUAUUGCAGUUUGUACAAAUUGUUCUGAGAAAUGCACUUAUUAUUUUGCACAUGUUAGGGAUGAUGUGAAAAAUGCACCAAAGCGACUGAGAAAAACUGUAACAGUGUGCAGUGUGUGUGUGUGUGUGUGUGUG
Salmo salar (Atlantic salmon) is the source of this 1220-nucleotide non-coding RNA. NCBI's taxonomy places the organism in Eukaryota, Metazoa, Chordata, Actinopteri, Salmoniformes, Salmonidae. The record is from RefSeq and is a predicted model, not a curated record.